GGGCGGGGAAGCCGCCCGGGGCUGAGCGGGGCCGCUUCGGAGGGAGGCGGCGCAGGUCUGCAGCCCCUGCCGGCAGAGGCGGCACCUCCGGGCCCGCCGGGAAGUUGCCGGACUGAAGCCUGGGGCUGCCGCAGGCUGCGCAGGCAGCUCCCGCCGCCACCCCGCCCCCCCGGGCGGGCGCAGCCCGACCCCACGACACCUGGCCCGGGGCAGGCGCGGCGCUGGGGGCGGCCGGGCCGAGGGGGGCGGGAGGCGGCCGGGCGCCCCGCGGGCGAGGCCGGUGCAGCGGGCGGCAGAACGGUCCCGCCGCCGCCUCAGGCCCCGCCGGCGGGCACAGCUACCCCCGCUCCCCCCGCCGAGCCGGGCCGGCCCCGCCGCGGCGCAGCCUGGCAGCUCCUGGGCACCGAGGCGUCAGCCCGUCCUGUCCCAGCCCGUCCUUGGCGCAGCUGGAGCAGGUUCUCAGCGGGGAAGGAGAAAGUCUCACAAAGAGCACCAGGGACAUCCCAUCGGGACCUCACGACCUCAGUCUUUGUUCACCAACUUCUUCCUGUCCAGCUCUGUCAGGUUGUCCAAAAAAAUCCAGAAAAUUAAGAUGAGUGACACAGCAAUGAAGCCUUUAUUCAGGUCCUCGCCAAUCUUACACCAAACAGCCUCGCACCUUCAAGAUCUGUCCUGAAAUGUUGCCCAUCUGAAACGCAGCUGUGGGUUUGUACCCACUUCAGGUUCAUUUUGAGACAUCAAAAAGGUUUUGGAGAUUUUUGUCCUUCAAAAAUAGCCUUUUUUUGUUGUUGUUUUAAAUGUAUCAAUAAAUAUGAAGCUACGCAGUGUUAGGGAAGUUUCUUUACCUUAGGUAUCCUCAAGCAGUGUCUCAGUCAUUAAUUCCAGAAAUUUCUCUAAAAUAGUUCAUUUAUUUGUAAGGUACAGCAGAGAGCAUCUAGAUCUGGGUCCCUCACACCAGGAAAAGUCUAUGAGUUCCUUUAUUCACCAAAGUUAUGUCAUUACUAAAAUCAAGAGGAAACAGCAGGGGCACCAAGUAUGGGAGGGCAAAUACAGAUAGGGCAUGAAAACAUUUUCACGUGUUCUUUUUGUUUGUUAGCAGCGGCUAUUGCGGCUAAUUAGUGUUAUUCAUGACAGGUUAUUUUUGCAAAACAAAUCUCCAUGAGUUCAAAUUAGAGUGCAAAAACAUACAAUGUGCAAAUGAAUAAGGACGUCACAGACACCAGGAAUUUUGACAUUCUUGAAGUAUCUGAAGUAAUUAAAAUUAAAUUGGGUCUUCAGUUUUUAUUCUGUGAAGGAAAACCAGAGCCUAUGCAGAAUGGCCUUAAAGCCCAACACUUUCCUGAAGCCUUCUGUUACCAUGUGGCCCUGAAUACUUCACUGGUGCUUUGCUCCAUAUGCAUUUGAACUAUUAGCCUUUGCAUUGUAUAUGAGUCAAGAUACAAGCUCCCUGGAGCAGCAGCCUUGUCCUUCACAUGUUUGCAAUGUGCCAGGCAUAUAGUGCAUUACAAGUACCAAUGACUGAGAGGAUAUGCUGGUUUUCCCAAGUGCAAUACAAACACAUCUCAUCCCAUACGCUGGGAGAAAUGAGCUGAUAUUCAUAUACUUUCUGUCAAGAAAACAGGGCAUUUCUGGGUUUCAUAAUUUUCAAAUCUAUGUAAUGCACACAUACAACCUUCAGCAGUUUCUUCUCAAGAUCGCUGCAUAAAGUUUUGUGAUUGUGAUGACAUUUGUGACUACAUUUUAUAUUAAGCUGAUAUAUUCAAUUAAUCAUUUGUUUAAUUUUGACAGCAUUUGGAGGUAUGUUAGAGCAAUGUAUACGUGGCUAAUAUAUACGUGGAACAGUGCUUUCUUGGUUAGAAUGAGUUCGAAGCUAUAGAGUGAAUAAAUCAAGGCUCAGAGUUCGAGGGCAAGGACGUGGGGAGAGCUGGAGUCUUAUCCCCAUUAGUGUGCUGAAUUUCUGACUGGUAACUGUUUCAGCGGUGGGUCCUGAGGACAUCCCCAAUGAGAACAGCCCUGUAGUUUUUAAUUACAACUUUGUGCUUGCUGAAGUACGGCAAAAUUGUGGCUGUGACUAGAUAGCAAAUAGGGCAUGACAGAUGUUAAAAGGUGUAGUGUUUGAUACCUAGUGUUACAUGAUAGCUAGUGAAACCUAGUAUUUAACAGUAUCUAAAAAGAUCAGAAAUUUCUCAAAUUCUGGUCAAGACUAGGCAAAUUGUAAUUUAAUGUAUGUCACUCAUUAGAGAAAAGAGGCUGUAAAUUGAUUCAAUUAAUCUAUGGUAAAGUACAAUCUGUUUUGAGCAGACCUUUCAAAAACAUCAGUGAGAGCGAGAUAACUUUCUAAAAACACCCUGCUAAAUUAUAGAGUAGAAAAACACCAGCUUUCUCUGCUCAGAAAAAGCUAUCUCAUCACACUUCCUUGCUUUCCUGCUUCUUUUUUACCUUGCCUCUCUCCAGACAGGUUUCUUCUAAACUUUCUCUUAAAAGUGUAGCAAACUUCCUUUAAACAGACUUGGUUUGUCACAACCAAAGCCAGUUUGCUGUGUACUUUGCCCUGGGUCACCAGAUGAAAUAAGCAAUACUGCCUAGAGGCUCCUUGGCCAUUUGAAUUAUUUCUAGGUAGGAUUUCUGACAGCUAACGUUAGAUGAAAGUAUCCAUCAACAGCAGUGCUCUACUAGAAGAGUUCGGAAGUCUAAACAAGAUGUUAGGCUUGUAUACUUCAGUCCACUAUCGUCCACCAUAAUUUUUCCCUUUUUAUUCCCCUUUCACCUUACAGAAGUUUAAUAGUCAUUAAGCUCUAAGCGUCCCCUUGUUCUCUCAAGUCUUUUCUGUAAAAUACAGUGAAAUUCUCACUCAUCUUUAUCUGAUGACCUUGUUAGCGAGGUACUUCUGCCAUAUUGUUGUGACCCAGUAUUUUCAAACGUGGUUAAUUAUAUUGGAUGCCCAAGCUCAUGCACAGAGCCAUCUGUCAGGGGCAGUUAAGAAAUGUCUGAAAGUCAUUGACCUCAAGUCAGGCACCAAGUGUCUCCAGCACUGAACAGCAUCACAGCCGUGACUGAACAUUUUUGGCUGUGAUUCACUUACCUGAGUGUGCCUAGACUGUGACUGUGAAAUGAAAACCAUUCAAAGUUUGUCAUCAAACUCAAGUGUGACAGAAAUAGGCCUGUGACAGGACCAUCCCAUCUGCCUAACACCUCAGUUUCUGGACUUUUACAUUGCCUUGCAUAUUGCUGGGAAAGAGUACAUGAAAAUGGGUGUUUUUUUCAAAGGUAACUGAUGAUUAGUGCAAUUAUAUCAGGGGAAAGUGUGGGAGGAGCAUGCACAGAACUCUACAGAUUUGAUAUUGAUGGGGAAGAAGUGGGGUUUUCCACUUCAGUCCCUCUGCCGGUACAGAGGGCUGGAGGAGGAAGAGGGAAGGGCUGUACAGGGGUUCAGGUACACUCAGCGCACACCCUGCACUGGUUUGGUAAUGAGAAACAAGGAAGUUUCAGCAGAAAUUCUGUGGGCACUGCCCUGUAGAAGGUAGCUGGAAAUGCAGGUGUGGAAGAGAUAAGUGGAGAAUUCCUGUCCAAUUCCCCUCCCUUUGUCAGAGCGAGCCACAUGGCUGGGAAAACAGCCUCAGGGAUACCGGCUGCCAGAUCUGGAGUGAGAGAAGGAGGGUGGGGAGUUUCUCUGUGUUCUGUUUUUUGCUUUGGAAGCGGCAUUUCUUGAGAAGACCUGCUGAGUGUCCCACAAAUACCUGACAGGCACUGAGAGAAAAUGGCUAGGUGCAUUGGUGAUGUUUUUUCAGUAUCCAACUUCAUGUUAUUAAUGUUCUGCUGGGCUUUGAUUUUAAAAGAAAAAUGUAUUCUAUAACUCAACUAAGCAUAUAUUGAUGAAAGGGGAGAAACUAAGUUUAGGCGUAAGUCCUGUGCUCUGAUCCAUUGAAGCAGAUUGUCAUGUUUGUGUGGAUCCGGUCUUACCAUCACAAGAGUAAGCAAGGUAUGCUGUGUGUUAAACACUAAUAUUCAGAAGCAGUUUUCUGGGGUCUGAGAAUGACUUCAGAACAGCUAUUAGGCAGGGAGACUGUAGUCUGCCCAGAAAUAGAAUAAACAUGUUUUACAUGUGUGUAAUGUGAUUUUAACAGUGUAACUAAGGCACUGAAAAGCAGGUUUUAAUAGUGUAGUAGUAUAAUUGCAUAAUUAAUGUUCUUUAUACUAUUGCUGAAAUAUACUUUGAGUAUUGUUUAUUUUACAUACCUGUAUUUCCUUAUUGUCAAAAUAUUUUGUAUUACAAUCCAUAAUACUACAGGAAGUACAUCUGGGAGUCCGUAGGAGACUCAGAAAAUAUCAUAGGAUGUCUUCAAGGUGUAUUUUCUCAUUCCUGUUGCAAUUUCUUGUCUCUUCUCAGAUUUUGUAUUUUCAUUAAUUGAUUUAUCUUUUUAAAUAAAAAAAUAUGUUCUUAAGUAGCCAA
Long non-coding RNA from Columba livia (rock pigeon), 4450 nucleotides. RefSeq lists it as uncharacterized. The transcript has 2 exons. The record is from RefSeq and is a predicted model, not a curated record. NCBI's taxonomy places the organism in Eukaryota, Metazoa, Chordata, Aves, Columbiformes, Columbidae.